GCAAGAUCUUGGCUGGAAUGUAAAAGGAAUGUCCAAAAUAUUUAAAUGACAAACAGGAUGGGAACUGAUAAUGAGGAAUGUAUGUCCAGUUUUUUUUUGUUUUUUUUUGUGUUUUUUUAAUACAGAUAUGAAAGAUGACAUUACCCUAACUUAGAGUCAUAGGAGUUUCAUUAAUUUAUUUACUCAGAUGCUGAAACAGACAUCUGGCAUAUUCCUAUAAUCAGUAUCAUGGCCUUUGUAUACAACAAAAUUGAUUGGAACUCCUAGACUAGAAAUAUAAUUCAAGAUUUAAAUAAGGCACUGGUCAUAGUUUUAGAAAGUGUGGCUAGCAUUCUGAAGGAAGACAGAGAGAUGGAAAGACAUCAAAGAAUGGGCAGGUCUGCCAAGAAAUGGUUUAUCCAGGGCUAAGUACAGAGAGGAAUAUAGAAGGGCUGUUGACAGAUCUUGUGUGGUGCCCCCAUGGUUCAACAGACUAAUUGAUUGAAAAUAAUACCAGGGUUAUGCUCCUUUGACCAUUGAGUUCCAGGAUGAAGAAUGAAAGACAGAGAGCAAUGUGAAGACAUGAAAGAAUGGGCAGGUCUGCCAUGAAAUGGUUUAUCCAGGGCUAAGUACAGAGAGGAAUAUAGAAGGGCUGUUGACAGAUCUUGUGUGGUGCCCCCAUGGUUCAACAGACUGAUUGAUAGGUAAUGGUAAGAAUUUAAUGUAUUUUGUAAACAAAAUGGUGUUAAUUACAUUAAGGGACUUAAUCACUCUUUUUUUAAUUUUUACAUUCAUUUAAUGUAAUUAUUUUAUACAGUAAUAUAUGAUUUUUAUCUUGGUAAAUCAUUUAAAUAUAUAUCCUGCUAAUCAAACCAAAGAAUCUUCUCAAUACUUAUUUAAAAAUUUUAAU
Molecule: long non-coding RNA, 889 nt
Organism: Biomphalaria glabrata
Lineage: Eukaryota; Metazoa; Mollusca; Gastropoda; Planorbidae
Exons: 3
Source: RefSeq, a predicted model, not a curated record